CGCAGCCGCGGUAAUUCCAGCUCCAAUAGCGUAUAUUAAAGUUGUUGCAGUUAAAAAGCUCGUAGUUGAAUUUCGGGGUCUGUCCAUUGGUCGGGCUUCACGGUCCGUACUGGUGAGAUGGGUUCCUACCUUCUGAAUAACCAGCAUGCCAUUUAGUUGGUGCGUUGGGGAAGCAGAGCUAUUACCUUGAAAAAAUUAGAGUGCUUAAAGCAGGCUAGUGCUUGAAUAGAUUAGCAUGGAAUAAUAAAAUAGGACGGCAUGGUUCUAUUUUGUUGGUUUCUAGGAUCACCGUA
This 293-nucleotide ribosomal RNA is filed under the name uncultured Acaulosporaceae. Its description in RNAcentral is "partial small subunit ribosomal RNA". It matches the Rfam family "Eukaryotic small subunit ribosomal RNA", at positions 569 to 864 of the family's 1831-position model. The record is from RNAcentral. Lineage: Eukaryota; Fungi; Glomeromycota; Glomeromycetes; Diversisporales; Acaulosporaceae.